Molecule: small nucleolar RNA, 129 nt
Organism: Suricata suricatta (meerkat)
Lineage: Eukaryota; Metazoa; Chordata; Mammalia; Carnivora; Herpestidae
Source: Ensembl
UGCAAUUGUGCUUGUUUUUGUUCAGUUUUGUGGACAAAGACUUACACCUGAGUGCAGAAAAUAAAUCCUCUUUUGCAACCCAGAACUCAUGGCUCAGUACAAGUUUUGAUACAUGUAAGAAGGAACAAG